This 253-nucleotide ribosomal RNA is filed under the name uncultured bacterium. Its description in RNAcentral is "partial 16S ribosomal RNA". It matches the Rfam family "Bacterial small subunit ribosomal RNA", at positions 524 to 776 of the family's 1533-position model. The record is from RNAcentral.
AACGUAGGUGGCAAGCGUUAUCCGGAUUCACUGGGCGUAAAGGGCACGCAGGCGGCUCGGCAGGUAGGGCAUGAAAUCUCCCGGCUUAACUGGGAGGGGCUGUCCUAAACCGCUGGGCUUGAGGGCGGGAGAGGGAAGUGGAAUUGCCGGUGUAGUGGUGAAAUGCGUAGAGAUCGGCAGGAACACCAGUGGCGAAGGCGACUUCCUGGUCCGCCCCUGACGCUCAUGUGCGAAAGCUAGGGUAGCGAACGGG